Long non-coding RNA from Taeniopygia guttata (zebra finch), 8036 nucleotides. The record is from Ensembl. Lineage: Eukaryota; Metazoa; Chordata; Aves; Passeriformes; Estrildidae.
UUUUUUUUUUUUUUUUUUUUCCAGAAUUACAACUUAUGUGUUCCCAAUGUUUUAAUCUAAUGAUUAUGUUUCUGUUAAGUGAACAUGCUCCAACUAAAAAGACACCAGGACAUAAGUAGCCCAAACCUAUUCACUGGGGAGGUGAAAGAAUGAAGUUUCAGUUCUAUUCUGAAUCUUGCUUAGUGGGGCAGUAGCUGGUGAGUCAGGGGUCUGGCCCAACAACCUUGACUGGAAAUUGCCUUUCUCUGCACAAAGAGCUACAUCUGAAUGCUCACAUGGAAGGCAUUGGCUCUAGGAAAUUGGGAUUUCCUGCUAGGAAGUAAAUUUGUGGAAAGACCUCAUAAGUGACUCAAGUUAGAACUCUCACACAAAUUCCCUAAGCCACCUUUCACUACAAAGCUGAACUGACCUGGUCUGGUUUUACACCAUUCUGUACCUAACACAUUUCUGUGCACGUGAACUAAAUAACUCGAAGUGUUAGGUAAUGAAUGGGUAGGGAAUAUUGGUCAUGGACAGAUAUCAGCAACAGUAUCUGUGGAUUUCAUUUAGUACAUGUUUACAGAAAAUAUUAAAGCAGGAUACACAAUAAGAAUGCUAAUCUAGUACCAGAAUUCCCACGUGCAAUUGUUAGAUACACAAAUCAUUCUAACACUGAUAUGUAAACUCACACCGAAAUUUGGUUCUGCAACUGCUAUCAAGUGCUGUCACUUACCCUAUCUCUAAUUUCAAUAAAUACGUGACUGAGGGGAAGGGAGCUACCAUUACAGUGAGUAAAAGCUUCAGUUUUGCUCUCCCUGCUUAAUGUAUUUCUCACUGACUGCUGGAGAUUCUUAAGUCCAUACAAAAUGCAGGCAGUGCCCAUGCCAUGGCAAUGGGUUUGGAGAACUCUAAGGAACAGACUGACAUGGCCACUUGGAGGAUUUUUUGCACACAUGGGCCUUUUUAGGUCCACUGGUCUGUGCCCAGCUGGAGCGAUUUGCUGUGAGCACUCCCGUGAGACCACGGAGCUGCUUCAGCUCAUGGUGGCUGACGCUGCACAGGCAAGGAGUGGGAGCAAACCACGCAGGGCACGUUAAUCAGGUGCUGGAAAUGAAACGUUGGCUGAAUGCUGGCUAGCACAAACUUCAUGGUCUCUCAUGAACUUCCUGUGACCCUCUAAGGAACACUGAGCUAUUGAAACAGACCUACUUACCUUUCCUAUAGCUGCUGCUAUUUUCUUUGAAGCAGUUUUUCCUGUAAACUCAAGUGGUUUUUUAUUUAGACUGACUAAUGCUGAUGGCACCUAAUUUUUAGGUUAACUAAACCUCUAAAAAGGCAUUUUUCACAUUUUACUACAAACCAUUGCUCUGAAAAAUAAAAGUAAUAAUGUUCUAGAUAGGCAAAGAAAGUUACUGUGAAAUUAAGAGGUUUCUUCUACAGAUAACUUAGGAGGAUUGACAUAAUCCUUUUUUAUAUCAGCCAUAGAUCUUAUUUUCAAAGUACAUUUUUUGAAUAUUAGCAAGUACUAACUUCUCACUGAAUGCCUACAAAAACAUACCAUUAUUCACAUUUCCUUCAGAUUUAUCCAUGCUUGCACAAAUUACUUCCAUCUAGAGCCAUUAAGCUGAAGGAGGCCGAACUACACAACUUUGGAAUUUAAGAUUUAAGGCUUUGGAAGCACAAGUAAAACAACCCAAAAGCUCAGCCUGGGCAGCCUGCACGAGGGGAACGCCGAGCGCGGAGCGGGCGCGGCACAACUGCAACCGCGACUUGCGCUGCUCGGGCCCUGCCCUCAGAGCGUUCCCCGCCAGCCCGGCGGCGGCGGUGCUCUAAAUCCAGCUCAGCCCGGGAUUCAGUGCCUCUCCCCGCUGUCAGCACCCUGCCAAGCGCACCAGGAGCGUUCCCAGCUGCCACGGCUCGCCGGGCUCAGCCCCGGAGCCCGGCCCGGCCCGGGACAGCCUCACAGCCGCGGGCCGGAGCCGCGGCCGGGGAGCAGCGAGCACAGAGCGGGCAGGCACCCACAGCCCUCCUCACAAAAACAGACCUUCCCGCCUUCGUGUGCACUGCACAUUUUAUUUUUAUAUAUACUUGGUUUCUUUACUUUUCUUUUAAAUUAUUUUUUCCCCAGGGUGGAACAUGCAAUAUUUGAAUCUUCACAAUGAGAUUUGGAGAACUCUAAGGAACAGGCUUACAUGCCACUUGGAGGAUUUUUUGCACACAUGGGCCUCCACAAAUCUCCACAAUUUGAGCUGUGAAGUGAAUUCAUCUCAGCCACUCGAAUACACACUUUAUUUAGGCUGAAAUCCAGAGAAAAAUGAUACUGAGCACUAUUGGCCCACACUCCUCAAGUAAACUUCAUGAGCAGGCAGGUAGGAAUCAAAGGAUUGUGCAGGACCAGCCCACAGACACCUGGAUCAUUGCUGGAAAUCCUGAGUGAUACAAAUGAAAAGUCACUCAUCUAGAGUCACCAACGAGACUGAAUAAAUGAAAUGAAAUUACUGACUUCUAUCAUCUGGUACUUUGGGGAGUUUUUUGCUGCAGUAUACAAAUCACGAAGGAUAGGAGCACACAAACAAAUGUGAGAUGAUCAAACAUUUCUCAGUGGUCCCUUCAAACAUGAUUUUGUUCAGACAGACCCUAAGAUUUUGUUAUAGGACAAAGUCUGUUCUGGAGCAAAUACAAGUGAACUGCUGCAAGCAGGAUUCUAUUAAUUUAUGUCCAGUUUGAGAUGUGGCCUUAUGCAUCCUUGGCAGUAAAACAGUUCAAAGGCAAUGACGGUUGUAAUUAAAUAAAUCCUCACUCUUCUGAAAACUAUCCCAGGUGAUAAGGAUUUUGGUACUGCUACAUAAAAGUUGGAUUAAAGAUAAGCAACUUAUUUUUAUUUGCAGUGUAGCAGAAUUCUGUCAUUAUUAAUCUGGGUUGCAAUUCGAGUAGCUAUAAGAAAAGGGUGAACAAGGGGAAGGAAGAUCACCACUUCAGAAAUGUGGCAUCUCAUUCUGUUUCUCUGUUGGGCCUGAUUUAGACUUAACAAAGUAAGAUGAAGAUUUGAGAUUCUUCUGUUGAAGCAAAAAGAGGAAGAAGUCUAAAAGAGUAUUUUUCUAGAGAUAAGAGCUUUAUAAACAGCUUUGCCUAACAGUGACAACAGCUUGGUCCUCUGUGUUAAUUUUUAUAGCAUUAGAAGCUACAGAAAUAAAUACAAUUUCACAUCAGAUCAAAAUUACUCCAUCUUCUUAAUUCACCAAAGGUGUGGAUAGUGCUAGGUGACUAAAUUUUAAAAAAAUCCCCAAACAGUAAUUUAUUUGGAGGAGAGAUUUUUUUUUUUCCCUGCCGAUUAGGUGGUGGUCAAAAUCUUGAAUAUCAUGAUUUUAUUUAAAAAUUAUCUUAGCUCCAACAGAGAUUUAUGGGAUUUGCAGAAACCAUAAUAAUUUUAAGUGGUGAUGUUGGCUGUUGUGGCCUUUGCUUGCUUUGUUUUUUUGUUGUCUAUAAACAGAGGGAAGUCUGGAAAAUCCAAAAGACACUAGUCUCAACAGAGAAUUCUAGCCCAAAAAAAAUGAGCUUCUGUAAUUUUAGAUAUCUUUCCAAAAUUCCGAACUGAGGCCCUAGUAACUCCUAACCUGUGCCAGUGAAAAGUCUGGACAGCUGCACAAAAAGGAAAAAACCAAAGUACCUGGAAAUUUGGCCUUGGACAUUAUAGUAGCAAAAGGCAACAAAUACAGGUUACUACAGAGAAAAUUAUCUAAUCCUUAUUUCCUGGUAAACGAAAAUUAGAAAGGAAACACUGAAAACAAAACAAGUCACACAGUAGCUUAAAGGAUCUACAUUUGAUCCCUUUGGUUAAAGGACAAAAACAGCUCUGAACAACCACUUCUGGAUGUCUUCCUACAUGCACUGAAGCCCCCGUACAGGACAGAAUGAAUCAAAGAAAAUAAAAUUUUGAAAAAAUUGAAGAAAAUAAAGAAAAUAGUAUUAAGUAAAAUGCAACUCCUCAAGUAACUGAGUAGCUCUCAAUAAGGUAAAUAAAGCAAUGGUGGAACUUGAUAGGAGAUCCAGCAUACAGAUCACUCCAGGUUAGCAAGGAGCUGUUUCUAACCUGGCAAAUGACUUCAUUCCUGGUUAGGACAGUAAUUAAUACUGCUCUUGCUACAUUUUUGUAUAUCUGUAAGCACAGAGGAAUUUUACAGAGCAUACCAGAAAUUCUGAACUAGGAGUAACCUAACUGACUCUGUGUCCAUCACGGAAGAAGCUACCAGCAAUGUGCAGCUCUCUAAGGAUCUAAUAGGUGUACAACACCAAAUUGUGACAUUUGAAAGGGAGAGAGCAAUGGCAUGGGUUUUGAAACUACACAAUCCAACUCCUUGAGUAUUUCAACUCUGUUGAAAACAGCAAGGGAAUUUACAGUGUUUCUUUCAAAUAAUAAAUACUUUACAUAAAUGGAGAGGAGAUUUGGAUUUUAUCUGAAAAUCAUUAAGGGAUAAGGAAGGCAAAGCAGUGCAUAUGAAUACCAAGAUACCUUCUACCAUCCCCUUUGUCACAAACACACCUAAAAGUAAUGGGCACAUAGAGAAAGUCCUCUCUAGUCCUCCUGUUCUGAGGUUUUACUAUAACAUUCAGAGGAUUCCUUGGUCACCUUCACUGAUCCUUUGAGACUGAGCCAAAAAGCUUAAAUUCUUCAAUUAUACUGGGAAGUUCCAAUCAGUGUCAAGCAAAUUAUGUAGUUAAUAAGGGAUAUCAAUUUGUGCAUCCAUGUAAGUACUGACCACCCUCUGCUCGUUUUUAAUAGUUUUGAGAACAACAACUUAUGUCCCGCUGUCUGCUCCUAAUAUUUAGACUCUGCUGUGUGCACUGCUCAGAAAUAUUCAGAAGCAGUGAAGUAGGACUCUCACUGACUAUUCUGUAAUGCAGAAGCACAAGGAGCUCUUCAGAAAAACACUCAGAGCCCACUCACCACCUCACCUGCUGAAGACAACCUGAGGGAGAAUGGGACAUUAAAUUCUGCAAGCCUCAUGACAACAGUCUGCAAUAUGAAGGUGCUGAGAGGGAAACAGCACCACCAAUUUGGAGGAACACUUGGACAUCAGAGCAGCACAAGACAGAAGAACUAACAACUGAAAAACAAAAGGCCUGCUCAUUUCUGGCUAAGUACUGGAGCAUAAACAUAUGUAGUACUCUCAAAGCACAGGAAGUAAAAGACAAACAGAUGAAAUGCAUUAAACAGAUAAUCUGCAUUACACAGAAAUGUCAGAUUUGUGAAAACACUGUUUAUCUGAGCAUCACAAGGAUGAAGGCCUAGGUAAAAAUACAUCAGACUCCCAGGCUUACCAAGAGAGGUUAUUUAAGAGGGAGGUUGCCCAGAAGUAAAAGUGAGGCUGUUCAGCAGCAUUCCAGGGCUCACAAGGAGGCAGAAAAGCAUUCUUGGAGCUCUUAUUGCCCAGUAAGAUCCACUGCAUAACGCUACCCCAGUGCCAGCUGGUCCUUUUAGAAAACUGUUCAACAGGGUUUCCUCUCAGGCGAGCUGUUCUGCCUCCAGAGUCCUUUAGACUGGAGUGCCACAGAAGCGCCCAACAUCUGGGUGUUGGCUUGUAGGUUUGUUUAAACAACACUUCGAGCUUCCUAUCUCUUCAAAUAAACACCACAGCCCAAAGUCUCCAAUUACACGUUAGGAAAUGUUGUGGUCCAAAAAACAAAUUGUUGUGAGUUUCAGUGGCUAAAGCCAUUAGAUUCACCUCUUGCCCAGGCAGUCACACCAAGGACAUUGCUCCAAACUCACCUAUCACAGCAUCAAAAGCAGAGGCCUGUUUGGUUGUAUCCAACACAGCUCUUCAUGGCAUUAUUAAAAUGCAUCCGAUUCUCUUCAUAAAUGUAUCCAGUACUGGGAAUAUCAAAAUAGGCUCUAUAUUCAGACAACAGAUGAAGGGAGCCAAAAGAGGAUAUAUUUAGUAUAUAGAAAAAAAAUUAGAAAAAAAAAAAUCUCUUUAUUAGUGCUUUUUUGUUUUAAUUAGAGAAAAUUGCAAUGUAUACACCAGUGCUGCAAGGCAAUCUUCCAAGAGAGCUAAGUGAAUGUAUGAAAAUACUUUUACUGAAAUAACUUAUGCUGAAUUAAAUGUUUUGCUACUUUAUUUGAUUUGGCUUCCUGAUCAUUUAACUGUCACCGAAUUCUGAACUUAAGAAGUGGCAAUGUUUAAUGACAAUAAGACAUUGUAGAUCAUGUGUUAAUGCUGAUUAAUGCACUUCCCAAGCGUGCUGGGAGCAUUUGGCUUGCCUUGUACCUUACACUGUGCACCCAAGGCAUGCAUUCAUCAGCACUACUGCUCUGUCUGUCAUGUCUUAUUGCUGAAGUAGUGCACCAUUCCCAGUAUGUUUGCUUUGAGCCUGCCUCAGUCAAUUUACAUUACACUGCCCACCCAAACCCACAUUUUUGAGGUUCACCCAGCUCUUGAUGAUCAGGGCCCUGUAUGUUUAAUAACGUUUUGCUCUGCCAGUCUAAUUAACUCCAGCACUGUAUCUGCAGUCAGAUAAAAUGCUCAUUUCACACCACAUUAAUUUUUAUCAGCUGAACAUUAAGCAACACAAAGCUAUCUAUGCUUGGUUUAAUUUACAUACUGACAGAGCUACAAAGAAUUACUGCAGUGACUGCAAAGCAAAUAAGUAGAACUGGCAUCAAACAUGGCUUCUUCAAAAUGAAAUAUUGAUUUGCAAGGCUGGCAUCCCAAAGCAGAAAAGAGGAAAAGAAAGAGAAUGAGAAAUUACUUUCCCCUGUCGGCACUAGGAAAAAAAAUACACAGUUUGUAUCCUGUAUUUCCUUAAAUGUUAUAGCUUGAGAGGGGUAUUAAAAUUAAAACUUAUUCUUCAAUUGGCCAAGAAAAGUUAGAGGUGGUGGUAACAUUUCUCAUGGCUUAGAAAGAAAAGGAAAAAGGGGUCAGGAAGGUGGGGAGGGACACGACAACUGUGUUAAACAAUAGAACUUAAAAGAUUUUCCUGCUCUUUUCACCGGCAAAAUUUAGCUGAGCAGUCCUUUUUUUGUGGACUAUGACCAUGAGUCAAAUUUGAAGGCAGAACGUAUGAAAGACCCUGGAAUUCUAAUAUAUGAAUAAGAACACAGAAGAAAAAUUCUGGGAGCCUAGGAUUUUAUUCAGUCUAGCAGUGACCCUUCAGUGCUGUUUAAAAGCAUCAGUGACCCCACAGUAGCCAGAAUAGUAAGUGUUCAUAUGAGUUAAUCUGAACACAUAAAAGCUGGCCAUGCACAUCAAUCAUGGCCAGCUUUUCCAGAAUGUUGCACCACAGUAGUGAGGUGAAGACCUUAGCUCCAAAAAUAAAGUAUCCUGUCUCUGCUCAACUGGCCAAAGUCAAACCUUCACUAAAGCUAAUUAUGAACUGCACACCAUUUAAGUGUUACAGAAUACAUCUUCCUUUGGGCUUUAUCUAUUCUUCUGUUCGAGGUUAAAAAAAAUUAGCAAGUUCAACUGAGCUGCAUUGCAAAAAUCUCACAGACAUUUAAUAAAUGAGCAAAAUUAAUAGAGUAGCACUCUGCCACUUCUGCCUGUAGGUUAACAUUAUCUUUUCAGUCUUGGAGUUGGUGUGUGCCACUGAGUGAUCCUCUAAUGCUUUUUUCCCUGCUCCUUAACCACCCUAAACAUUAGGAGCGAUGCUUCAGUAGCAGGAACGUUUCCACUCCCAAAAGUGCACGAGGUCAUCAGUACAAGCAGCUCCCUCAUAAGCAGGCAAGGGAGACAACUCACAGAUCCUGGAGGAGCACUGACUAGCUAAUGUUCAGUGUUCCUUUCCUGAGGAAAAAAUGUCUAGGAAAGGACUUGGUAAAACUUCAACAGCUUUCCUGAGCUUUAUUUGGUUUACUGGAGAGCUAUGAUUUGGGUCCUGUUCAGCUCUGUGGUUUUCUGGCUGCCCCAGAAACUGCCCUUGGCAUUGAUGUAGUUAAAAGUUGGUGUGACAUUUGAAAUUGUCCCUGUCCCUGUCUCCAUGGCUUCCUGUGCUUUCCUGCCCCUGCCUCUAAGAGCAGAAGAGCAGAUCUACAUUGGGCUGGGAAAUCAUGGCACUGCUCC